AGAGUGCGUAAUAGCUCACUAGUCGAGAGGUCCUGCGCCGAAAAUGUCCGGGGCUGAAACACAACACCGAAGCUGCGGAAUUGCGAAUGCAAUUGGUAGAGGAGCAUUCUUAAUACCGACGAAGCUGUACCGGAAGGAGCAGUGGAGGGAUAAGAAGAGAGAAUGCCGGAAUGAGUAGCGAGAGAAAGGUGAGAAUCCUUUCGGCCGAAUAUCUAAGGUUUCCAGAGUAAAGCUGAUCUGCUCUGGGUAAGUCGGGGCCUAAGCACAGGUCGCAAGACGUAAGCGAUGGAUAACAGGUUUAGAUUCCUGUACCACGCAUUAUCAGAACUGUAGGGACGCAUGUGGAAAGCACGAGCCGGGAAUGGAAAGACCGGUACAAGCGGGGUAGGAGUACGAUAGGCAAAUCCGUCGUAUGAUCCGAAGACGUGAUGUGGAGCGAAAUAAAGUAGUGAAGCGUGUGAGCCAUGUGCCGAGAAAAGCUGCUAUUGUGUAAUGCGUGCCCGUACCGUAAACCGACACAGGUGGAUGAGGAGAGAAUCCUAAGGCCGACGGAAGAAGCAUUGUUAAGGAACUCGGCAAAAUGACCCCGUAACUUCGGGAGAAGGGGUGCCUGCGAGAGCAGGCCGCAGAGAAUAGGCUCAAGCAACUGUUUAGCAAAAACACAGGUCUAUGCGAAACCGAAAGGUGAGGUAUAUGGGCUGACGCCUGCCCGGUGCUGGAAGGUUAAGAGGAGAGGUUAGCGCAAGCGAAGCUUUGAAUUUAAGCCCCAGUAAACGGCGGCCGUAACUAUAACGGUCCUAAGGUAGCGAAAUUCCUUGUCGGGUAAGUUCCGACCCGCACGAAAGGCGUAAUGAUUUGAGCGCUGUCUCGACAAUGCAUCCGGUGAAAUUGAAGUACCAGUGAAGAUGCUGGUUACCCGCGCCAGGACGGAAAGACCCCAUGGAGCUUUACUCCAGUUUGAUACUGGGAUUCGGUACUGCAUGUACAGGAUAGGUGGGAGACGAAGAAGGAUGGACGCCAGUCUGUCCGGAGUCGCUGUUGGGAUACCACCCCUGUAGUACUGGGUUUCUAACCAGUUACCAUGAUCUGGUAAUGGGACAAUGUCAGGCGGGGAGUUUGACUGGGGCGGUCGCCUCCGAAAGGGUAUCGGAGGCGCUCAAAGGUUCCCUCAGAAUGGUUGGAAACCAUUCGAAGAGUGCAAAGGCAGAAGGG
RNAcentral lists this ribosomal RNA (1212 nucleotides) under human gut metagenome. RNAcentral's name for it is "bacterial LSU rRNA". It matches the Rfam family "Bacterial large subunit ribosomal RNA", at positions 1127 to 2365 of the family's 2925-position model. The record is from RNAcentral.